Molecule: long non-coding RNA, 242 nt
Organism: Frieseomelitta varia
Lineage: Eukaryota; Metazoa; Arthropoda; Insecta; Hymenoptera; Apidae
Exons: 4
Source: RefSeq, a predicted model, not a curated record
GAUACGAAUACCGAUGCGAAACGAGAGAGAGAGAGAGAGAGGCUAAAGACUGGCAAUGUCUUUUCUCGAGUCUGCUCUCCUCUGGAGGAAGAACACGAACGAUAACGUCGAGAUUCACUGUAUGGACGCAAGGACGGUCUUUUGCACGAACACAGCACUCGUAACUCUCUUGGAAGUCUCGUCGUAAACCUCUCCGGUCCUUUCUCCGUUGAUGGUGAACGUUCGACUGCGGUAAACGACGG